RNAcentral lists this transfer RNA (82 nucleotides) under Echinostoma caproni. It matches the Rfam family "tRNA". Rfam says of the family: Transfer RNA (tRNA) molecules are approximately 80 nucleotides in length. Lineage: Eukaryota; Metazoa; Platyhelminthes; Trematoda; Plagiorchiida; Echinostomatidae. The record is from Rfam by way of RNAcentral.
GGCCUCGUAGCUCAGUUGGUAGAGCAUGCGCGUACAAAGCGUAGGCGGUGUUCAUGCGUGGGUUCGAAUCCCACCGAGGCUA